AGCGAAUGCUAGCGGCAGGCCUAACACAUGCAAGUCGAACGAACUCUUCGGAGUUAGUGGCGGACGGGUGAGUAACACGUGGGAACGUGCCUUUAGGUUCGGAAUAACUCAGGGAAACUUGUGCUAAUACCGAAUGUGCCCUUCGGGGGAAAGAUUUAUCGCCUUUAGAGCGGCCCGCGUCUGAUUAGCUAGUUGGUGAGGUAAAGGCUCACCAAGGCGACGAUCAGUAGCUGGUCUGAGAGGAUGAUCAGCCACAUUGGGACUGAGACACGGCCCAAACUCCUACGGGAGGCAGCAGUGGGGAAUCUUGCGCAAUGGGCGAAAGCCUGACGCAGCCAUGCCGCGUGAAUGAUGAAGGUCUUAGGAUUGUAAAAUUCUUUCACCGGGGACGAUAAUGACGGUACCCGGAGAAGAAGCCCCGGCUAACUUCGUGCCAGCCGCCGCGGUAA
This 449-nucleotide ribosomal RNA is filed under the name uncultured bacterium. RNAcentral's name for it is "partial 16S ribosomal RNA". It matches the Rfam family "Bacterial small subunit ribosomal RNA", at positions 29 to 523 of the family's 1533-position model. The record is from RNAcentral.